Molecule: transfer RNA, 84 nt
Filed under: Echinostoma caproni
Lineage: Eukaryota; Metazoa; Platyhelminthes; Trematoda; Plagiorchiida; Echinostomatidae
Rfam family: tRNA
About the family: Transfer RNA (tRNA) molecules are approximately 80 nucleotides in length. Their secondary structure includes four short double-helical elements and three loops (D, anti-codon, and T loops).
Source: Rfam by way of RNAcentral
GGUCUCAUAGCUCAGAUGGUAGCGCGUGUGCUGUACACAACUGCAAGCGGCGUCCAUGCUUGGGUUCGAAUCCCACUGAGGCUA